AACCUUAUGGACCUGCGGGCGUAUACCUGCGGAGGGAUCAUUACAGAGUUGCAAAACUCCCUAAACCAUUGUGAACCUACCUUCUACCGUUGCUUCGGCGGGCGGGCCUAGCGCCCCCCCGGCCCCCCGCGGGCGCCCGCCGGAGGAUAACCAAACUCUUGACAUCAGUGGCCUCUCUGAGUAUUCUUUACUGAAUAAGUCAAAACUUUCAACAAUGGAUCUCAGAUCGGAAGAGCACAC
RNAcentral lists this unclassified non-coding RNA (240 nucleotides) under soil metagenome. Its description in RNAcentral is "partial contains 5.8S ribosomal RNA, internal transcribed spacer 2, and large subunit ribosomal RNA". The record is from RNAcentral.